GGUACGAUUUGCCUGGUCGACGUUCCGUAAGGGCGCCAGUACUGGAGCGAUUCUGCCAUCCUUCUAGUUAACUGGCUGCACUUAACUGUGCGGUCAGCAAUCUAGAUCAUUUACUUUGAAAAAAUUAGAGUGUUUAAAGCAGGCUUUUGCUAUGAAUACAUUAGCAUGGAAUAAUAAUUUAGGACUUUCCUCCUAUUUUAUUGGUUUCUAGGGGUAAAGUA
This 221-nucleotide ribosomal RNA is filed under the name uncultured fungus. Its description in RNAcentral is "partial small subunit ribosomal RNA". The stretch from base 94 to 221 matches the Rfam family "Eukaryotic small subunit ribosomal RNA", at positions 735 to 864 of the family's 1831-position model. Lineage: Eukaryota; Fungi. The record is from RNAcentral.